AGUGAACGCUGGCGGUAGGCCUAACACAUGCAAGUCGAACGGCAGCACAGUAAGAGCUUGCUCUUACGGGUGGCGAGUGGCGGACGGGUGAGGAAUACAUCGGAAUCUACUUUUUCGUGGGGGAUAACGUAGGGAAACUUACGCUAAUACCGCAUACGACCUACGGGUGAAAGCAGGGGAUCUUCGGACCUUGCGCGAUUGAAUGAGCCGAUGUCGGAUUAGCUAGUUGGCGGGGUAAAGGCCCACCAAGGCGACGAUCCGUAGCUGGUCUGAGAGGAUGAUCAGCCACACUGGAACUGAGACACGGUCCAGACUCCUACGGGAGGCAGCAGUGGGGAAUAUUGGACAAUGGGCGCAAGCCUGAUCCAGCCAUACCGCGUGGGUGAAGAAGGCCUUCGGGCUGUAAAGCCCUUUUGUUGGGAAAGAAAAGCAGCAGGUUAAUACCCCGCUGUUCUGACGGUACCCAAAGAACAAGCACCGGCUAACUUCGUG
RNAcentral lists this ribosomal RNA (492 nucleotides) under uncultured bacterium. RNAcentral describes it as "partial 16S ribosomal RNA". It matches the Rfam family "Bacterial small subunit ribosomal RNA", at positions 29 to 507 of the family's 1533-position model. The record is from RNAcentral.